This 253-nucleotide ribosomal RNA is filed under the name uncultured bacterium. Its description in RNAcentral is "partial 16S ribosomal RNA". It matches the Rfam family "Bacterial small subunit ribosomal RNA", at positions 524 to 776 of the family's 1533-position model. The record is from RNAcentral.
UACGUAGGGUGCAAGCGUUGUCCGGAAUUAUUGGGCGUAAAGAGCUCGUAGGCGGUCUGUUGCGUCGGCUGUGAAAACCCGGGGCUCAACCCCGGGCCUGCAGCCGAUACGGGCAGACUAGAGUUCGGCAGGGGAGACUGGAAUUCCUGGUGUAGCGGUGAAAUGCGCAGAUAUCAGGAGGAACACCGGUGGCGAAGGCGGGUCUCCGGGCCGAUACUGACGCUGAGGAGCGAAAGCGUGGGGAGCGAACAGG